UACAGAGGUGGCAAGCGUUGUCCGGAUUUAUUGGGCGUAAAGGGCAUGUAGGUGGUUCUAUAAGUCAAAGGUGAAAUGGCCCGGCUCAACCAGGUCAUUGCCUUUGAAACUGCAGAACUUGAGUACGGUAGAGGAAAGCGGAAUUCCCAGUGUAGCGGUGAAAUGCGUAGAUAUUGGGAGGAACACCGGUGGCGAAGGCGGCUUUCUGGUCCGAAACUGACACUGAGGUGCGAAAGCGUGGGGAGCAAACAGG
This 253-nucleotide ribosomal RNA is filed under the name uncultured bacterium. RNAcentral describes it as "partial 16S ribosomal RNA". It matches the Rfam family "Bacterial small subunit ribosomal RNA", at positions 524 to 776 of the family's 1533-position model. The record is from RNAcentral.